RNAcentral lists this ribosomal RNA (496 nucleotides) under uncultured bacterium. RNAcentral's name for it is "partial 16S ribosomal RNA". It matches the Rfam family "Bacterial small subunit ribosomal RNA", at positions 28 to 523 of the family's 1533-position model. The record is from RNAcentral.
GAUGAACGCUAGCUGGAGGCUUAAUACAUGCAAGUCGAGCGGGAUUGGGUAGCAAUACCCAUGAGAGCGGCGCACGGGUGAGUAACGCGUACACGACCUACCUCUAACAGGGGGAUAGCCCUGGGAAACUGGGAUUAAUACCGCAUAUAAUUCUGAAUAAUAAAGGUUUGGAAUGAAAGCUGAGGCGGUUAGAGAUGGGUGUGCGUCUGAUUAGCUAGUUGGUAGGGUAACGGCCUACCAAGGCGAUGAUCAGUUGGGGGCGUGAGAGCGUGGUCCCCCACACGGGUACUGAGACACGGACCCGACUCCUACGGGAGGCAGCAGUAAGGAAUAUUGGUCAAUGGGCGAAAGCCUGAACCAGCCAUCCAGCGUGCAGGAAGAAGGCCCUAUGGGUUGUAAACUGCUUUUAUCAGGGAAGAAACCUCUGGAUUUACUCCGGAGCUGACGGUACCUGAAGAAUAAGCACCGGCUAACUCUGUGCCAGCCGCCGCUGUAA